RNAcentral lists this ribosomal RNA (253 nucleotides) under uncultured bacterium. RNAcentral's name for it is "partial 16S ribosomal RNA". It matches the Rfam family "Bacterial small subunit ribosomal RNA", at positions 524 to 776 of the family's 1533-position model. The record is from RNAcentral.
UACGUAGGUAGCAAGCGUUAUCCGGAUUUAUUGGGCGUAAAGGGAACGCAGGCGGUCUUUUAAGUCUGAUGUGAAAGCCUUCGGCUUAACCGGAGUAGUGCAUUGGAAACUGGGAGACUUGAGUGCAGAAGAGGAGAGUGGAACUCCAUGUGUGGCGGUGAAAUGCGUAGAUAUAUGGAAGAACACCAGUGGCGAAAGCGGCUCUCUGGUCUGUAACUGACGCUGAGGUUCGAAAGCGUGGGUAGCAAACAGG